Molecule: long non-coding RNA, 292 nt
Organism: Lonchura striata (white-rumped munia)
Lineage: Eukaryota; Metazoa; Chordata; Aves; Passeriformes; Estrildidae
Source: RefSeq, a predicted model, not a curated record
CAUUGGCAAAGUUUAGAAAAUUAUCUUGAAACCAACUUGGAAGCCUUCUACAGAGACUCUUCGCUUCUGCGCGCCACGAGUCGGCUCCCUGCUCCCAGAAACAGGAAGCUUCUCUUACCUACAUGAAGGAUGCUGACAAAGGUGGUCAUGUCUCUCCCAGAGAAGAAGCAAAACCUCUUGUGAAGAUGAAGAUCAAGGCCAAGAAUAACUGUUUCUUCCAGCGCUACCAACUGGUCAUUUAACACCAGUGAUUGUUUUGGUGAGGAGAUUUUACAAAUCAAGAAGUCCUGAG